GGAUUAGAUACCCUGGUAGUCCACGCCGUAAACGAUGAGAACUAGACGUUAGGUACUUGUACCUGGUGUCGCAGCUAACGCAUUAAGUUCUCCGCCUGGGGAGUACGGCCGCAAGGUUGAAACUCAAAGUAAUUGACGGGGGCCCGCACAAGCGGUGGAGCAUGUGGUUUAAUUCGAUGCAACGCGAAGAACCUUACCUACACUUGACAUCAUCAGAACUUGUUAGAGAUAACUCGGUGCCUUCGGUAACUGAUUGACAGGUGCUGCAUGGCCGUCGUCAGCUCGUGCUG
RNAcentral lists this ribosomal RNA (290 nucleotides) under uncultured bacterium. RNAcentral describes it as "partial 16S ribosomal RNA". It matches the Rfam family "Bacterial small subunit ribosomal RNA", at positions 775 to 1067 of the family's 1533-position model. The record is from RNAcentral.